This is a long non-coding RNA of Pipra filicauda (Wire-tailed manakin), 4632 nucleotides long. RefSeq lists it as uncharacterized. The record is from RefSeq and is a predicted model, not a curated record. Lineage: Eukaryota; Metazoa; Chordata; Aves; Passeriformes; Pipridae. The transcript is spliced from 2 exons.
UUCCUUUCAGUAAGCCUUCGUGCAGAUUUCCUCUAUUAAGAUUUCAGAAAUGAGUCAGGUGAUCCAUGACCCAGUUUCAAAAAGGAAAGUUACCCCAACCUGCUAAGUUACCAUGAGCAAGUAUAGUCAUCUGGCUUUAGGUACUACUAAAGAAAAGCAGAGCUGAUUAAAUAAAUAAUUUGUUCUUUGUGGUAAAUUUUCAAUGAAUUGAUGUUUGAGCAACUAGCUUUGUUGUGUGUUAGAGGUUUUUUCCUAACAGUGAUUUCUGUAGUGACUUCUAUUAAAACAAAGGCAAUGUGGUUUUAAGAUCAUUCAGUGUGGUAAGGGUAUGUUGAGAAUUUAAAAACCUGUUUGUAUGUGUAAUACUACUUUUCUGAGGAAAUAUUUCAGAACAGCGGUGGUCUAUAAUGUUGAAAACUGUGGGCACUUUUUCUGUUGCUUCUAUAAAAAUAACGGCAUUUUUAGUGCUCUUCGUCAAAUUCAAGUGGCUAUGACUCUUAUAUGUACCUGAUUGAUCUGUAAAUCUUGGAGGUUGGAUUGUGUAAAACUCCUAAAAAAGUAAUCAAGCGAGUCUGAGAGAUCGGAUGUUUGAGGAAAGACUGAUUUUCCAGACUCUCCAGAACAGAAAAACAUGGGAAAACAUCUCAGUGUCAACAGCUAAGCCUUUCAGAUGCUCUCCAGUUCACCCUGAAGCAGCAAGAAAACAUCAUUUUAUAUGAUGAGCUCACUGUCUGCAGUGCCAGACUCUGCCCUUCCAGAAUCCUGAGGGCUGGGGAAAGAGUUGGUGAGCCCCCAUCUUUUAUUUUUAGUCAUUUAUUAUCACUGCCAAAGGGAUAUCUAUCCCCAUGUUCUUACUCUUUUUUUGUUGCAACGAGGGUAGUGACAGCUCUGCGCAUGUCAGGUCUGAGGCCCACGUCUGUACGCAGCCCAGCCAACAUAUCAGCAGCCAAAGAGACACGGCCAAAAAGAUUAGCCACAAAAAUCUCACAGAUGUUCAGACCUGUCAAAUUUGUUGUGAAUAUGCAGAUCAGCUGGGCUCCUGCAAUUGGUCUGCAUAUGUCCAGCAAGCAUUAGCCCAACUAACCAUUUUAGAUUUAUCCAGGAUGCCUGGAGAGGCAACUGUGGGCCACCAGAAGUUCAAAGAGUGCAGAAGCUCCGAGUACAUUGGCAGUGCUCCAGUCAGAGCUACAGGGAGGUCCUGAGUUGCACAGAACAAUUUUUAGAGUUGAAUGCUGUAGGACUGGGGGAGGAAAAAAAAAGCUGUCAGUAAGGCCAAUGACAGGAAGGUGUAGAUGAGAAAAUUUUCCCCAGAUUUAAGAUGACCCUAAAUAUUUUUGUAGAGAGAGUCUCUGAACUAUUAUAUGCACCUAAAAUAAGCUAGAGAUUUGAGACUGUAAUUUGCUCUUGUUUAAGUAAUGUUUGUUAAGACACCUGUUGAAACUAUUUUGCUCAUCUUCUUAUUAUAAAAGCUUUGUGAUAGUAACGUAAGAAUAAUAGGAAUAAUCCCAUCUUCACAACAAAGACUAAAGGGAGAUUUGUAACUGAUUUAAUUUUAUUGUGUUUCAACCUCUAAAUACAUCUUUUUAUGUCAGAAAUACAUAACAAAUCACAUUUCUGUCAAUAGGAAACACAGGUAACAUGAGUACACCACUCUAUCAAACUGAAACCAUAGCUGUUUCCUGUUGAUAAGCUUGCAGCUGCAUCCAGACCUUGGAUCCAGAAGUGCAUCCUUCCAAGGAUGUUGCUUCUGGACUGAUUUAGGCUGACAUAGAAAGGGAUAAGAGCAGACAAAGUUAAUAUGAGCAGAACUGCAAGGUGCAGAUGGGGAAUACCCUUUCUGGUUUUAAGCAAUUUGGUUUAGUCUGUCAUAAAACUUGCAUUAUUCAAAGAGACACUGAGAAAAUUAGUUCUUUUUUAUUCCUAAACUUCAAAAUUAUGCAUCUUAAAAUGAUAAUAGAAAGACAGCAGUUGAGUUUGAUUGGCAAAUUAAUUGAGAUUGAAAUAUGAGCCAUGUGCUGUUUAAUUUGUCCUGUUUUUUUCCUAAACUGAAACAGAAAAACAUACUUUUUAUUUUAAAAUCUGUUCCUGCUUUUCCUUUCCUUCAAAUACUGUUCAAGAUGUUUUGAAUUACAGUGAAAAUCUAUGUAUUUUUGCAGCUGAGGAGAUUUUGAUUUACCUACUGACUGCUGAUGAGGGUACUGAUGACUGACAAACAUCCAUCAUUUGAAAAUUUGAGACAUCAAUAUAAUCUAUUAAACAUAUCAAAUUAUUUUAAAUUUCUUGUCUGUCUUCUCAUUUAAUGGCAGCAGAAAUUGAGACAGACAGCAUUCAGCAAAGCCACAGUUUGGUGUUGACAUCAGUUUUACUUUCAUCAUGAGACAGUUGGAGGUAUCGCCAUUUAAAUCAGAAAAGAUAUUAAAUGCUUUCUACUUGAGCAUGUUGUUGGACAGAAGGAAUUUGUGCCUGAGACAGUAACACUCCAUCCUGCAACAUGCUGAGCUGGAACUCAGAUCACAGCUCUUAUAUGGGCCAUGCAGAGAAGGAAAACAGGUUUCCUGAAACAAACCCAGAUAAUUUUAAUUACUUUAAUUGUUUUUGCAGGAUUCUUUUAAAGAGAAGCUCAAUUUUUAGGACUCCCACAGGAUAAAGAAUAACUGUUGGACUUCCUCAGAGGAAUAAGGAUGGCACUGAGCAAUCUCUAGGCAUCAUCUGAACCCUUGAAGUCAGUAAAGCCAAACUACUGUGAAAAGUGGUGAUUUAGAUUUCCCUGUGAAACCUUUUUGAUGGUACUGUUAGGUGUGGUACAUCAAAGCCCAAGAUACUCUUGUAUGAAGGUAGUUCAUACUGGAAAGAAAAAAAACCAAACAGUUUUAUAAGAGCAAUAAACAAAAUGGAUCAAGAAUGAAGCAAGUGACAUUGAAGAGUUUCUCAAAGUAUCAGGCAUGGCUAGAUUGACUGAUAUCCUUGAAGACUGCCAGUAAGUCAGGACACCAAGGUCCAGGACAGGUCGAGGAGGGCCACGUACUCCUUACAGAGUCUACGUUUCUAGGAGGUGUCUGUCAAGAGAUGACUUAAACCACAGCCUCAAAGAAGGUCCCCAGUGCUCAUCAAAUGAAAAUAUGCUAUGGCUGAGUUACUCUGCAGGAGAGGUGAUACCACUGCUAAGAAACACCUUUAUUUCAAGUCAUUCUGUAGAUAUGAACUUGGGUAAAACCUGUUUCACUAAGACCAAGUGGAUAAAAACCCCAAAUACCUGAAAUGUAAAGGGGCUGUUUAGCCCCAUGGUUCUGCUCAGUUUGGAAGCAGGUGUGACUCUUCAUGUGAAGUUGUUUGACUUAGACCCAAUACUCAAGAAGACAUCCCAUCCACUUGGCAAAACAGCUGUGUGUGCAUUGAAGAGACUCAGAGAAGAUACCCCCUUGCCAUGUUUGUGUUAUGCUUACAAGGGGAUAUACAGACAAUAAUCCACUUGUAUGUUUCUAUUCUUUUACAACUAUGAGUGAGUACAGGUGGGAAGGUCUGGUUGUUACAUCAGCAAGUCAGCUCAGAUGUAGGUGGGUGUCCAGCACGUUGCUCAAAGUGACUCUUGGCAGACAUGAAAGCCAAAGGUGCAGAAAAUUGUCAGUUACAAAGUGCUAAGGCCCUAAAGGAACCCACUGUCCUUUCCCAGUCCCACAGUGCUCCCCCCACCCUCCCAUUGCCCAGAAUCCCAUUUCAGCCCAGUCCAGCCCCAUCAGUCAGGAAAGGUCCAAAUCAGAGUUACCUUGCUUGAGGUAACUUACCUUCAUCAGAACUCAGAUGGAGGCAGCCAGGGCAACAAUUUCAAAUACUUUAAAUAUUAGAAAAUUUAGUAGAAUUUUCUGCCUGUUUUACCAAUAGUCUUAGUAGUCUUGCAGUGUUUUCAGGGGGUGCUUCCCAAUGGCAGGUUGAAGGAGAAAUCACACAAAAAAACUCCCCGCCCAGUCAAACCACAAAGUAUGGCAAUAUGUAAAGUAGGGGCAUUUCACCACAGUACCAAAACAAACAUGAACAGUCCUCUGUAGCUCUUGUCUAGGCAGCUGCUUCAGCUUCAAAUGGAACAAUAUUCUUCCCUAGAGGUUGGGUGACUAGAUCAUCCAGCAAGAGGAUAAACAAAAAAAACCCCAUAGGUAAGAGGACUGAAUAUAGUGAAGGAAGGACAAAAGAAAUAUCAAACAAGAACAAAUACAGCAAAAGACACUACAACAAAGUUUCCUGUAAGCACAGCAGAGGUAUAGGGAGUUUGAAGACAUGCUCCAGCCUUGGCCAUUCCUCACGUCCAGCAAGCUGGAGCAGCCUUAUUAGACCUGCUCGGCCCUACCACCAGCAAUGCCUACAUGCUCUUCUCCACACAGCCAAGUCCAGCAGCUAAUAAAUUGUGUGUGAAUUGUGUGGACAGAGGAUAAUUCCAGAAGGUGCGGAACUCAGGUUUUCCCAGAAUAUUUCCAUAGUCAGCCCAAAGUCAAUAGGUGGAAUGAGCAGGAAUUUCUUCUGGGAGAACCUGAGGAGUAUUGCAAAAACUGUACUGAGAUCCGCUUAAAGUUUUCAGGGUGCAUUUAAAUAUUUUCUGUUUGAGCUAUAUGGUUGAAAUAAAUUUGUGCAGCAGCUCUGUAA